AGCCCAAACCAUUCGACUACGGUUGGAUGGGGUUGUGGGUCAGCAGAACGUACGAGGAAAUCUAGGAGAAGAGUUCUGGAAAGGACUUCCAAAGAGGGUAAGAGGCCCGUAUCCGAAAGGUUGAAUCGGCAAGCUGAUACCAGAGUACCACAGGACACGAGGAAUCCGGUGGGAAGCAGGAGGGACCACCCUCCAAGGCUAAAUACGAUCCAGUGACCGAUAGCGCAUAGUACCGUGAGGGAAAGGUGAAAAGAACCCCGGGAGGGGAGUGAAAUAGUACCUGAAACCGUAUGUCUACAAGCAGUCGAAGCGAAAGCGACGGCGUGCCUAUUGAAGAAUGAACCAACGAGUUAUCUGCACUAGCGAGGUUAAGUGGAAGACACGGAGCCGUAGCGAAAGCGAGUCUUAAGAGGGCGCAAGUUAGUGUAGGUAGACCCGAAACCGCAGUGAUCUACCCAUGUCCAGGUUGAAGCGCAGGUAAAAUUGCGUGGAGGACCGAACCGGUGAGCGUUGAAAAGCUUUCGGAUGAGAUGUGGGUAGGGGUGAAAUUCCAAUCGAACCCGGAGAUAGCUGGUUCUCCCCGAAAUAGCUUUAGGGCUAGCGUCGGAAAGAACCUUAGUGAAGGUAGAGCACUGAAUGUGUGAUGGCCCCAUCCCGGGGUACUGAAUACAAUCAAACUGCGAAUGUCAUUAAGGAUGUCCGGCAGUCAGACUGUGAGUGAUAAGGUCCAUGGUCAAGAGGGAAACAGCCCAGACCGCCAGUUAAGGUCCCAAAAUACAGGCUAAGUGGAAAAGGAUGUGGGGAUGCCCAGACAACUAGGAGGUUGGCUCAGAAGCAGCCAUCCUUUAAAGAGUGCGUAACAGCUCACUAGUCGAGUGACCCUGCGCCGAAAAUGUACCGGGGCUAAGCCUGAUACCGAAACUGCGGAUUGUAGGAAACUAUAGUGGUAGGGGAGCGUUGUAUACGAGCAGAAGCCGUACCGUGAGGAGCGGUGGAUUGUAUAGAAGUGAGAAUGCCGGUGUGAGUAGCGAGAUGUAGGUGAGAAUCCUACACACCGAAAGCCCAAGGAUUCCAGGGGAAGGUUCGUCCGCCCUGGGUAAGUCGGGACCUAACGCGAGGCCGAAAGGCGUAGUGGAUGGAAAGCAGGCGAAAGAUUCCUGCACCCGUAUAUGGAGCGAAGGAGUGACGGAGACGGAUAGUGUGACCCUCUUAAUGGAUUGAGGGCGAAGCGAAGCGGCUGGUUACCAGGCAAAUCCGGUAACCAAAAGGCUAGAGCGUGACAGGUAAGCGAAAUCUUAGGAAAGUAGCGAAGCACAUGAUGACGGCUUCCAGGAAAAGCUUCUGGCAAUGCAUAUGCGGCCCGUACCAAAACCGACACAGGUGGGCAGGGAGAGAAUCCCGAGGUGAGCGAGAGAACUGUUGCCAAGGAACUCGGCAAAAUGACUCCGUAAGUUAGCGAGAAGGAGUGCUUAAGCAAUUAAGCCGCAGUGAAGAGGCCCAAGCGACUGUUUAACUAAAACACAGCUCUCUGCGAAGUCGCAAGACGAAGUAUAGGGGGUGACACCUGCCCGGUGCUGGAAGGUUAAGAGGAUCUGUUAAGAGCGAUCUGAAGCAGUGAUCCGAAGCCCCAGUGAACGGCGGCCGUAACUAUAACGGUCCUAAGGUAGCGAAAUUCCUUGUCAGGUAAG
RNAcentral lists this ribosomal RNA (1688 nucleotides) under human gut metagenome. RNAcentral describes it as "bacterial LSU rRNA". It matches the Rfam family "Bacterial large subunit ribosomal RNA", at positions 266 to 1980 of the family's 2925-position model. The record is from RNAcentral.